UGUAUGUAAAUGCAUGUCAUAAAUAUAAAGUCAUUGUUUUAUAUUACAUUUAUACAAUAGAAAACAUAGAAUGGAAUAUAUCUUUUUUGAACAUAUCAUCAGCUAGAUUUAGUUUGUAAUAUUUAUUAUUUUAUGAUAAAUUAAAUUUUUUUGAAAACGCGUUUUUACACUGAAAGCUUCAUGGAUGCCACUGUUAGUUUGAUCAUUUCAUAUUUUAUACUUUUAUCUUUUUUCACAUUUUAGGAGCAGGUUUAAUUAUUGUUUUUUAAAUUAUUGAACUUUGUUUGAAUACAAACAUUACAGACAAAAAUCGAUAUAAAAUUAAAACAAAAGACAGACUAGUAUCAGGUUUGAGCAAAUAUAGAAACAAACCAUAAAUGUAAAAUGAAAACAAUCAUAACUAGAUAUUAAUAGAAACACAGACACAUAAAUAAUAAUGUAAAGCUACACAGUUAAACAUAUACAUUUAAGGCUUUUGUUGAUUUACUGAACGUUCCGAUCAAUGACGUAAUAUCCGGGGACGUUUGGUAGAAGGGGCGUGGCUUUCUUUGUUUGGCGGGAAAGUUCUUUGUGUUUCCCGUGCAGGGCGGAAACACGCGCUCGGUGGAGUGGAUUUAAUGGAGAAGCAGUGUUAGCAUCAUUAGCAUCACCAUGUCUCAGCCCAGACUCACGGACUUCUUCUCCCGCUCAAAGAGAGCCGCUGCGGCCCCGCGUAGAACCUCCAAGCCGCGGACACGCUCCUCCGUGCCUGCCGCAGACUGCUCCUCAGCGGCCGUCCACCAGGAGUUCCUCCGGGUGAUCGAAGAGGCCGCGGGCACGAAGCCCACCAAGGAGCUCUGCCUCCCGGCCUCUCCCAAGCGCUCUGCGGCGGACGCGACCUUUGACCUUGGAGCGGCCGUGUUUUCUGCCACCAUUGAGCACAGCACGGCUAAGAAACGGCGGCCCGCGGACCCCAAGGGUCCCAGACCGACCCCCGACCCCGCCUGUAAGAAGAAGUCUGCCCGGAAGAAGCUCGUCCUGCUGGGGGAUGUUCAGCAGGACAUGGCCCACCCUCUGGCCCUGGAGCAGCCCUCUGCACCAGCAGACCCCAGUACUCCACAGACCCAGGGUAAAGACCCCAGAAGAAGCUCCACGGUGAGUCAGCGUCACUUAUAGUUUUUAUAUAGAACAUAUGGAGGAACACAUGAGUCAUAAUUACAUCCAGACAAAACAAGAAAAGUAUCAUUUCCUUUAAUAAAGUUGAGAAUACAAACUAUGUAGUGCA
RNAcentral lists this long non-coding RNA (1264 nucleotides) under Gouania willdenowi (blunt-snouted clingfish). RNAcentral's name for it is "lncRNA (ENSGWIG00000001622.1)". Lineage: Eukaryota; Metazoa; Chordata; Actinopteri; Blenniiformes; Gobiesocidae. The record is from RNAcentral.